Molecule: ribosomal RNA, 861 nt
Filed under: uncultured bacterium
Lineage: Bacteria
Description: bacterial SSU rRNA
Rfam family: Bacterial small subunit ribosomal RNA
Source: RNAcentral
CAUCAAAACUUUUCAGCUAGGGUUUGAUAGAGGAAAGCAGAAUUUCUAGUGUAGAGGUGAAAUUCGUAGAUAUUAGAAAGAAUACCAAUUGCGAAGGCAGCUUUCUGGAUCAUUACUGACACUGAGGAACGAAAGCAUGGGUAGCGAAGAGGAUUAGAUACCCUCGUAGUCCAUGCCGUAAACGAUGUGUGUUAGACGUUGGAAAUUUAUUUUCAGUGUCGCAGCGAAAGCGAUAAACACACCGCCUGGGGAGUACGACCGCAAGGUUAAAACUCAAAUGAAUUGACGGGGACCCGCACAAGUAGUGGAGCAUGUGGUUUAAUUCGAAGAUACGCGCAGAACCUUACCAACACUUGACAUGUUCGUCGCGACUUUAAGAGAUUAAAGUUUUCGGUUCGGCCGGACGAAACACAGGUGCUGCAUGGCUGUCGUCAGCUCGUGUCGUGAGAUGUUGGGUUAAGUCCCGCAACGAGCGCAACCCUCACUUUUAGUUGCCAUCAUUAAGUUGGGCACUCUGAAAGAACUGCCAGUGAUAAGCUGGAGGAAGGUGGGGAUGACGUCAAGUCCUCAUGGCCCUUACGUGUUGGGCUACACACGUGCUACAAUGGUAUCUACAACAGGAAGCAAAACAGCGAUGUUAAGCAAAUCCUUAAAAGAUACCUCAGUUCGGAUUGCACUCUGCAACUCGAGUGCAUGAAGCUGGAAUUGCUAGUAAUCGUGGAUCAGCGUGCCACGGUGAAUGCGUUCCCGGGUCUUGUACACACCGCCCGUCACACCAUGGGAGUUGGUUCUACCUUAAGGCAAGGUUUUAAACCCUUGACCACGGUAUAGUCAGCGACUGGGGUGAAGUCGUAACAAGGU